UGGGGAAUCUUGCACAAUGGGGGCAACCCUGAUGCAGCGACGCCGCGUGAGCGAUGAAGCCCUUCGGGGCGUAAAGCUCUUUCGACCGGAACGAUAAUGACGGUACCGGGAGAAGAAGCUGCGGCUAACUACGUGCCAGCAGCCGCGGUAAUACGUAGGCAGCAAGCGUUGUUCGGAGUUACUGGGCGUAAAGAGUGCGUAGGCGGUAUUCUAAGUUCGGUGUGAAAUCUCCCGGCUUAACUGGGAGGGUGCGCCGAAGACUGGGAAGCGGGAGUGUGAGAAAGGCAGGCGGAAUUCCUGGUGUAGCGGUGAAAUGCGUAGAUAUCAGGAGGAACACCGGCGGUGUAGACGGCUUGCUAGACCAUAACUGACGCUGAGGCACGAAAGCGUGGGUAGCAAACA
This 402-nucleotide ribosomal RNA is filed under the name uncultured bacterium. RNAcentral describes it as "bacterial SSU rRNA". It matches the Rfam family "Bacterial small subunit ribosomal RNA", at positions 355 to 774 of the family's 1533-position model. The record is from RNAcentral.